RNAcentral lists this non-coding RNA (263 nucleotides) under Cephalotus follicularis. Lineage: Eukaryota; Viridiplantae; Streptophyta; Magnoliopsida; Oxalidales; Cephalotaceae. The record is from RNAcentral.
AAUAGGGGGUGUGGGGCAGGGAACCGCAUGUGAAUAUCCAAACCCUAAACCCCAUUCCCAUGGAAGGGGAUACAAAGUGGGGGGUCUUUCUCCGGUGUUUCCCUCCAGGUGGUAAAAGAAAGAAACUCCGAUGCCUUUCACGUGUAAUUCCCAAGUUGACUGAAAUGUCCCUUGAGAGGUUUGAAGGUAGUGCUGCCUGCAUCUGGGAUGGGUGUCUUGUGGCAACUGGUUGUCCUCACCUCUCGUGCACCCCCCCACCAUUU